RNAcentral lists this ribosomal RNA (253 nucleotides) under uncultured bacterium. RNAcentral's name for it is "partial 16S ribosomal RNA". It matches the Rfam family "Bacterial small subunit ribosomal RNA", at positions 524 to 776 of the family's 1533-position model. The record is from RNAcentral.
UACGGGGGGGGCAAGCGUUGUUCGGAAUUACUGGGCGUAAAGGGCUCGUAGGCGGCCAACUAAGUCGGAUGUGAAAUCCCCAGGCUUAACCUGGGAACUGCAUCCGAUACUGGAUGGCUUGAAUCCGGGAGAGGGAUGCAGAAUUCCAGGUGUAGCGGUGAAAUGCGUAGAUAUCUGGAGGAACACCGGUGGCGAAGGCGGCAUCCUGGACCAGUAUUGACGCUGAAAAGUGAAAGCGAGGGGAGCAAACGGA